RNAcentral lists this ribosomal RNA (166 nucleotides) under Brachionus calyciflorus. Its description in RNAcentral is "5.8S ribosomal RNA". It matches the Rfam family "5.8S ribosomal RNA". Rfam says of the family: 5.8S ribosomal RNA (5.8S rRNA) is a component of the large subunit of the eukaryotic ribosome. It is transcribed by RNA polymerase I as part of the 45S precursor that also contains 18S and 28S rRNA. Functionally, it is thought that 5.8S rRNA may be involved in ribosome translocation. The record is from RNAcentral. Lineage: Eukaryota; Metazoa; Rotifera; Eurotatoria; Ploima; Brachionidae.
UUAAUACAACCCCAUGCGGUGGAUCACUUGGCUCGCGAGUCGAUGAAGAGCGCAGCAAACUGCGUGAAUUAAUGUGAUUUGCAGGACACAUUGAUCAUCGAUAUCUUGAACGCAUAUUGCGGUUAUGGAUCGCUUCCAUGACCACGCCUGUCUGAGGGUCGGUAUU